GAGGAAUAUUGGUCAAUGGGCGCGAGCCUGAACCAGCCAAGUAGCGUGAAGGAUGAAGGUCCUAUGGAUUGUAAACUUCUUUUAUAGCAGAAUAAAGUGACCCACGUGUGGGUUUUUGUAUGUAUGCUAUGAAUAAGGAUCGGCUAACUCCGUGCCAGCAGCCGCGGUAAUACGGAGGAUCCGAGCGUUAUCCGGAUUUAUUGGGUUUAAAGGGUGCGUAGGCGGAAAGAUAAGUCAGCCUGUGAAAGUUUGCGGCUCAACCGUAAAAUUGCAGUUGAUACUGUUUAUCUUGAGUGUACAUAAGGUAGGCGGAAUUCGUGGUGUAGCGGUGAAAUGCUUAGAUAUCACGAAGAACUCCGAUUGCGAAGGCAGCUUACCGGGGUACAACUGACGCUGAUGCACGAAAGUGUGGGUAUCAAACA
Molecule: ribosomal RNA, 422 nt
Filed under: uncultured bacterium
Lineage: Bacteria
Description: bacterial SSU rRNA
Rfam family: Bacterial small subunit ribosomal RNA
Source: RNAcentral